UACAGGGGGGGCAAGCGUUGUUCGGAAUUACUGGGCGUAAAGGGCUCGUAGGCGGCCAACUAAGUCACACGCGAAAUCCCCAGGCUUAACCUGGGAACUGCGUGUGAUACUGGAUGGCUUGAAUCCGGGAGAGGGAUGCAGAAUUCCAGGUGUAGCGGUGAAAUGCGUAGAUAUCUGGAGGAAUACCGGUGGCGAAGGCGGCAUCCUGGACCGGCAUUGACGCUGAUGAGCGAAAGCUAGGGGAGCAAACGGG
RNAcentral lists this ribosomal RNA (253 nucleotides) under uncultured bacterium. RNAcentral's name for it is "partial 16S ribosomal RNA". It matches the Rfam family "Bacterial small subunit ribosomal RNA", at positions 524 to 776 of the family's 1533-position model. The record is from RNAcentral.